GGAGCCGUGCCUGAAUAAAGGGCCACUUUGAUAGAGUGAAUCAUGAGGGUUAAAACCCCUUCGACUCCU
RNAcentral lists this transfer RNA (69 nucleotides) under Anatolichthys villwocki. Its description in RNAcentral is "Aphanius villwocki tRNA-Ile". It matches the Rfam family "tRNA". From Rfam's summary of the family: Transfer RNA (tRNA) molecules are approximately 80 nucleotides in length. The record is from RNAcentral. Lineage: Eukaryota; Metazoa; Chordata; Actinopteri; Cyprinodontiformes; Aphaniidae.